CCUCCCCACCCGAUUUUUAUUUUCUUUCAUUUCCUUUUUCUUGGGGUGGGAGGGGGAUGGGUGCCUAGGAGAUGGGGAGAACAUUCGGCUGGGCUGAGAGGAGUUAGAUUCCUGUAGGUACAAACUCACUGGCAGAUUCUUUACAGCCCAGACUCAGGAACUGGUGGCUGUUCUUGCACGUAGAACAGUAAACGUUGGUAGGUUUACAAAUGACAAAAGCACCUCUACCUCCUCCUAAGGAGACAGGCUCAGUGUUACUAGCUGGAUCACCACUAGCUAUGAACAUCUUCAACCUGGUUUCUUCCUUUCACUUCUACUCCCCUCAUUUUAUUGGCCCCUUUCUGUCCCUUCAUCCCGAAAGGAAUCAAAAGAGUUCAUCAGGGGGACCUAAUUCUUGAUUUUUGUGUCUUGCCCUUUGGGCUGAGUUCCUCAGGGCCAGUGUUCUCUUUAGACUCAAAGGAACCUCAGUUACUUUGUCCUUGUGAAACUCCUCAGCUUUGUGAACAUGAUUCCUAAAUAUGACAACUUGCCCAUUUAUCAGCAGAGUUCCAGCCAGAAGGCACCAGGUCUUUCUACCCAAGAAUCCCUUCACAUGUCUGCCUCUGUUUCCAGUCUGCACCCCAGACUGAUUUACUUGGGAAUGGUGUCCGAAGGGGACAUGCCUAUAGCAAUGAAGAGGAAUGGGUACAAAAGCGCCUAGUGCUAUUAAAGAGACCUACCAUAUUAGACCAAAGGAGUCUUUAUAAGAACACUUGAGUUGGGCUGGAAUGGAUCAUCCAUCUAACCAGUGAAACAAGAAAUCAGAGGAAUGCCCGCUGCAGCCAUGAAACACAUUUCAGACUGAAAUGGAUUCCAUCUUCAUCCUGUCGACCAGAGAAAUUAUUUUAAAAUUGUUUCUGCUAUUAUUGCUUGCAUUAUUAUUAACAUUUUAUUUCUGUCAUUAUUGCUGCAGUUUUUGUUAUUUUAUUUCUGUUGUUAUUGCAGCUAUUAUACUAUUCAACAGAAGUUUAGAAAGAUUAGUCAGAUUAAUUAGUUUAUUGGUAAUUUAAAGCUGAAAACUGGUAAUUAAGCCAAAAAACUAAAAAUGAUCAGGGAUGAUUCAUACCAAUGUAGGAUUUGGGAGGAAGAGAGUCUAAAUUUUGGAUAUAAAACUUGGCAGCUGUGAAAUAAACAGGACUUGGGGAUCAAAAAUAUGAUAAUUGAAACAUUCUUAGUCACUCAACCUCUCCCCCUCCUCCAAAUUCAGCUAAGAUCAUUCUGUGAUUUGCUUGAUAGAGGAAAAAUACUAUAUUUGCUUUUGUUGACAGAGAACAAAGACCCCAUGUUUAUUCUUCAUGUGAUUUGCAUUUGCACGUGGAUUCCCUUGCUUAGGACCAUCCAAAUAUCUAAGCUCACUCCCCUCCAAGUUUGCCUCUCUUUGCUCUUGUUAUGCACCUCACUGGAGAGGGUGCAUCAUAUAAGACAGGUAUACAAUUUCAGCCCUCUCCACAGACAGAUUCUGUGGAAUAUAAAUUCAAUAAUGCAAUUCUCUCCACAACAAGCUCUCUGCUCUCUUUCAAAUAUAAUUAAUGUUUUGAUAGUGUAGUUCUUUAACUACAUAUAUACACACAAAAACAGACGCACCCUCUAGCUUUGCUGUUUGUGCAUUUAAAACAGACAUGGAUGUGGCUCUUUCAGUGACUCCUAAAAUUCCUCAACUCAGUCAGCCCACAGAGAAGAAAUCUGUUUAGGUAAUAACUGCACAGUCUGUUGUGUGCCCAGAAAUAUUUAAAACAAUAAAAAAUGCAAGCCCCUAGUUUUUGAUAGUCAUUUUUUGUCAAAUUUCCUAGAAAAUAAAGGAUUUUCGGAAUUGAUAUUCUGAUAGAGACAUUCACUAGAUAACAGUCAAAAUCAACAAAAACACAGUCCUAAACUACUGGUUGUCUUUUCCAAGUUUUGAUGAUGGAAUCUGAAUUUCAAUACCUUCCAUUUUAUCCAAUUGGUGCUAAAUUAACACAGAUGUAUAAAAACUAGCAGCCAAAAUAGACAAAACUACAAUGACUUCCAUAGAAAUUGCUUACUCCAUCAAACACCUCAGUCAUGUUUUAGGUGGAUUAUUUCAUUUAACUGCAAUUGGUUGUAUGUUAACAUAUUCAUAUGUGAAAUAGAUGGUCAGAAAGAAAGAUAUGCCUAUGACAAUAUGGCUAGUAGGAGUUAAGUGAGCAAACGCUGCUAACUCCCAUAUUCAAGUGUACCAUAUCCCUAACAUUUCAUUUCUACAAGCUGAUUACAAUUAUUAGGGGACAAAUAACCUUUCAGACUAUAGAACGUGAUAUAUUUUCAGACUUUAAUAAAGAAAAAUACAUAACCUGUAAUACUUAAUCCAAUGAAAAUAUAAACCUUAAUCUUCCCAUAUUGUUACUGAGUUGAAGAAGCUAGUUAUUGGGGAGUAACACACUGAUUUCCAAGCAUCUUGGCCAUUUUGUUUUACUCAUGAGUGUGUAUGAGGUGCUGGCAGGGGAAGGAUUUUACACUUUUCUCUUCACCAAAUUUUUAGAGAGAAUAUGUAAAAGGGAUUUCUGUUACAUCUUUUGUGGUUUAAUUUUCUUACUCUUCAUGUAGUAUUUGGUGUUUGGAAUUGUGAAAGAAGAUAAAAUAAUGAACAAGGAAAGGAGAACAUGUGGCUGAUUCCAAGUAGAUCGUUUAACUGGAUGGAAAGAAACAAAAAUAUUUUCCUAGUGCAGUUGUGCAAAGAAAGAGAAGAGUGUGUGAUCUGUCAAGAGCUCACUUGUGCUUUUUGUUAUUGUUUUAGAUGGUGGCCCAUCAGGGUUCCUUUCCCAUUACUUUCCUUCAAAUUGUUUUUCUUAAGAGCAUAAAAUGUGGAAACUACUUGUCCCUUCAUUCUCUCACAGGCUAAUAUUUAACAGAAAACAUUUUAGUUAAAUUUU
Molecule: long non-coding RNA, 2927 nt
Filed under: Canis lupus familiaris (dog)
Lineage: Eukaryota; Metazoa; Chordata; Mammalia; Carnivora; Canidae
Description: lncRNA (ENSCAFG00000054289.1)
Source: RNAcentral